This 492-nucleotide ribosomal RNA is filed under the name uncultured bacterium. RNAcentral's name for it is "partial 16S ribosomal RNA". It matches the Rfam family "Bacterial small subunit ribosomal RNA", at positions 29 to 507 of the family's 1533-position model. The record is from RNAcentral.
AGUGAACGCUGGCGGUAGGCCUAACACAUGCAAGUCGAACGGCAGCACAGUAAGAGCUUGCUCUUACGGGUGGCGAGUGGCGGACGGGUGAGGAAUACAUCGGAAUCUACUUUUUCGUGGGGGAUAACGUAGGGAAACUUACGCUAAUACCGCAUACGACCUACGGGUGAAAGCAGGGGAUCUUCGGACCUUGCGCGAUUGAAUGAGCCGAUGUCGGAUUAGCUAGUUGGCGGGGUAAAGGCCCACCAAGGCGACGAUCCGUAGCUGGUCUGAGAGGAUGAACAGCCACACUGGAACUGAGACACGGUCCAGACUACUAAGGGAGGCAGAAGUGGGGAAUAUUGGCCAAUGGGCGCAAGCCUGAUCCAGCCAUACCGCGUGGGUGAAGAAGGCCUUCGGGUUGUAAAGCCCUUUUGUUGGGAAAGAAAAGCAGCAGGUUAAUACCCCGCUGUUCUGACGGUACCCAAAGAAUAAGCACCGGCUAACUUCGUG